UUGGUAUAUUUAUUUUAUGUGUACGAGUAUUUUGCCUGCAUGUAUGUAUGUACACUGCUUGUGUACCUGGUACCUUAAGAAGUUAGAAGAGAAAGUUGGGUUCCCUGGAACUGGAGUUAUGGAUGUUAAUGGGCCACAUCGUGGAUCCUGGGAAUCAAACCUGGGACUUCUGCAAGAACAGUGUUCUUAACAACUGAGCCAUCUCUCCAGCCCUGUAUGCUGAUUUAAAAAAGAAGUCCAGAAGUCCUCAUUUGAUCAGAAGUGCUCGGGAAAAUAAAAUUUACUAAUAUAACAAUUUGUAAAAUGCAAACGAUUCAUCACCAUAUUCUGCUGAAUUUGUGUAGCAUUCUAAAACUGAUUUUUUUCAUUAAAAUGUUCUGAGCUGUCCCAGCUUCACAGAUUACAUCAUAUAGCCAAGUUGUUGGGUGAUAGCAAUUCCUUUGCCCCUGAGAUGUUACACAAUGAAAUCGUAUUGCCCCUAAUUUUCAUGGGGACAUCUGUAGUGUUGUCUUCACAGACGAACACCGCCCCUCCCCCGGGGUGGGGUGUUUGUCAUGAAUAAAUCCGUACAGGUGGAAAGUGAUGACUCAUUCCACAGAUAGGAGCAGAGAGUUUAGGAGGCUUUGAAAUGUGUAUGCAUUAGGAAUCAUGGCUGUAAGGGGGCACAUAUUAGAGCAGAGACAUAUUUGAGGGUUUAAUGUAGUCAUACACUGUUCUCACUGGACUAGCACAUGUAGCUUAGGGAAUGCAAUUUUGUGUUUGAGUCCCAGAUCAAUCCUGAAUUUCUACUUUGGACCACAAGGUGGUGUCUCAUCUUCAUUAAUGCUGAAGUCAAGCACCCAGCUCAACCUGGAAACCCACCCAUACCCACCUCUUCACCCUUCCUAUACCCUGUUGUACCAGGUUUGUUUGUUUGUUUGUUUGUUUCCUGUAGAUGUAUCCAACCUUCUUAUUAAAUAAGAAACACAGAACCAAUGCAAAGAAGAAAGCCAAGAGGUCAGAGCUAAGAGCUAAAACCUUACCCUUCCUCCUGCGGUGGUCCUACCUCUCCGAACCAAAGCUACCCCUGUGUUAAAGUCUUUAUAUAGAGUUCCUGUCCUGCCUUCUCAUUGGUUUUAAACCCAACCACAUGACCGCCUCCUCACAGCCUGUCUGUAUAGGCCUCCAGGUUUUCCAUGAUUGGUAUUAAGAUUAAAGGCAUGUGUAUCCAAUAAUGGCUGUAUCCCUGAACACACAGAGACUUACCCAGCUCUGCCUACCAAGUGCUGGAAUUACAAGCGUACGCUACCACUGCCCUGCUUUCCUAUGGCUUGCUAAUAGCUCUGACCCCCGGGCAACUUUAUUUAUUAACAUACAAAUAACAUUUUAAUACAAAUAAAAUAUCACCAUAGUUUCCCAAGUGGCAGCAUUUCUAAAGAAAAUUUGGUUAACAUAUUUUUGUCAAGGAGACUUGUAUUUGGUCGAUCGUAUCUGUGGUAAGAUAUGCGUAUGCAUUUUCAGUGUUUUUAGUUCGCUCUUGAUCAUCUAUCACAGUCUCUUUCUUACAGCUUGGAACAGAAGCAUAUGGUACUUUGACAAGUGCCUGUCAUAGGCUGCACACCGGUUAGCUUGCGAGUGGGAAGUUCCAGAGGAGCCUGCUCAGAAGUUGACUUUCCAGCUGGGUAUACACAAGGUACCCAUACCAGAUGCUCAUAGAAGGAAGCACACAAGUCCAAUUGUCUAGGUUCUAGACUUGUGUUCAGUGUAAGAUCUCCAAAUCCAUGGGGGAUUAAUAUUUUCAGAUCUACUUAUUUUAUGUGUAUGAGUAUUGUGCCUGUGUGUAUGUAUGUAUGUGUGUGUGUGUGUGGUGUGUGUGUGUGUGUGUGUGUGUGUGUGUGUACGUAUGUAUGCCUGCCAUGUACAUACUGGCAGAGGUCAAGAAAAAACAUCAGAUCCCCUGGACUGAGUUACAGAUGGUUGUGAGCCAUCAUGUGGGUGCUGGGAACUGAACCCGGGUCUUCUGCAAGAGCAACAAGUACUCUUAACUGUCAAGCCAUCACACCAGCACCCUCCCCCACCCCUCCCCCCACACCAUGAAGGUUUAAGAUGGAUAGGGGCUCCCUGAUGUUUUACAUGGUGAUGUUGCCACAUGGAACUAAAACCAACAAUAAAUGCACUGGGUCGGUGAGAAAGGUUUCACAGCGGGGAGGGUGGUGACACUGGUGUAAAAUAGUGAUGUGCCUCAGUCUACCUAGUGCUGGGAUUACAGGCGAAUGUCACCAUUGUCCAGCUGUGACCUGUGCAUUCUUGAAAAGAACAUUUUGGACAAAAUAUAAACCAGGGAGUGUGAACAGCUUCUAAAUAUAAGCAGAUCUACAAGUGACAGAACAUUAUGUAAUCAUUGAGAUAGGUGGAUCUUCUUGGUGUGUACGCCUGUCUAUUUUCACAGGGGUGUGUGUGUGUGUUGUGUACGCACAUAUGAAAGCCAGAGGACUGCCUCUGGUGGUGGUCUUCAGAUGUGGCGAUGGCUAUUCUUGGUUGCCAACUUGACGUACCUGGGAUAAGGGACCCUCAACACCUGAGAAAUUACCUCUAUUACAUUGGCCUACAGGCUUGUCUGCGGGACGUGUUCUUAACUGCUGACCGAUGGAGGAGAGCCUAGCCCACUGUGGGUAGUGCCACCCUGGGGAAGUGGGCCUGCUUAUAUAGGAAGCAGGUGAGCUGACGCAGGACAAGCCAGUAAGCAGCCUUCCUCCGUGGUUUUGCCUUAACCUCUUGCCUUGAGUUCCUGUCUUGGCUUUCCUUGGAAGUCUCUGAGCAAAGGAAGGAACACCUUCCUAAGGAGGGGCCAAGGCAGAGGUGUCUUUCAGUGUUUGAAGAGCCACUGAACCUGAAACAUAGCUUGGGGAAGCAGGGCCUGAGGGAAUGUGUCCAGGAUGUACAGACUGGCCAGGUGGAGCACCUGAGCUAACUGCGGGGCCCGAAAGAAGCCAAGGACAGGAGUGGAGAGUUUACCUGGUGUAUUGAGCAGGUGUCAUCUCCGACAUACCUCGCUAAGCACAGUCCUGAGACAAAGGCGACUUCCUCCUCCUUGUGGCCUUGUUGUGUUUGCGCUUGACAUCUGGGCGGUUCUAAAGCUGGCGGACUGCUAGGGAGGAUGUGGCCGCUGGGAUCUGGCUCCCUGGGGCUCACAAUGAGCACAGCUUAUGAACACACUUUGAAAAAAACGACAAGACACUUGUGCUCUCGUGGCCCACCUCCCAACAGCCUCGUUGCUGACUCCAGUCAUGAUGGGUUUCUCCAGUGAGAGGUACUGGGAAGCAGAACUACCCAAUGGGGCUCCAGUUCCUUCACUUCCUGGCACAGAUCUCACAUGAAACAGACAAGGAAAUCCCAAAUCUCUGUUUACGAAGAUAACAGAAGCAUUGCAUGUCCUGACCGGGUUUACUUUGCAGGAGUUCCCACCAAGACCACACCAGAAGUCUUGUUCCCUCGAUGGAUGACUUUUUAUAUAUUUAAAUUUAGGAGAAUUCAGUGAACCUUCGCCUUCUAGAUAUUGUUAUGUACUGUUUUAAGAGAUGAACACAUGAAGUAGAAAGUUUAACAUGCUUUUAAAAUUUCAUACGUGCUUAAGAAUAAAUCACUAUUUUGGUCUUAGCUCUGAAUUUUGAGAAUUGGAUUAAGAGUUUUCUAAUUAUCACAAUAUCCAAGGCACGAAAUUGUUGUCACCUCCCAAAUUUCUCUUGUGCUGCCUUGGUGUCACCAAUUAUGCGUGCCCUUCACUCAGCAAACUGUCCUCAUUCUCUACAGACUUGACCUUUUCAGAAUGCCAUAUGAUGUAUAGGCUAUUACGGUCUAUCAACUAGGUGAGUUUGUUCAUCCAUUCUCUAAUAAAAUCUUAUCAAUAUUG
This is a long non-coding RNA of Peromyscus californicus insignis, 3889 nucleotides long. RefSeq lists it as uncharacterized. The record is from RefSeq and is a predicted model, not a curated record. The transcript is spliced from 2 exons. Lineage: Eukaryota; Metazoa; Chordata; Mammalia; Rodentia; Cricetidae.